RNAcentral lists this long non-coding RNA (491 nucleotides) under Homo sapiens (human). RNAcentral describes it as "HSALNT0023498". The record is from RNAcentral. Lineage: Eukaryota; Metazoa; Chordata; Mammalia; Primates; Hominidae.
UGAAAGCAGAACUAUGGCUUCCCCCGCCCUCUCGCCCUCCAGGCAGGCCCAACCCCCCUCACCAUUCGUUUUUUUCACUUACUUAUCACCGCUGAUGUGCUAUAUAUUUACUUAUUUGCCACAUCUGUCUCCUCCCACAUGCAAGUAUUGCUCCAUGAGGUCAGGAACUCUGCUUUCUUUACUGCUGCAUCCCCGGGAACCCUAACAGCACCUGGAAUUAAUGAGCAUGCAAUGUGUACUUGCCGAGCAGAUGUGAAUGAAUUACUUUGAAACUGACGCCAAAGGGCACCAUCAACACAGAGGCAAUCUUUAGAGCAUCGUUGGACUGUGCCUAAACUGCAAAUUCUUGGAAUCACCCUGCUGGUGCUGGCCUUGUCACAAAGCACAGCCUGGGAAAGGAGCAUUCCAGAAGAGUAUGUCAGUGAACCCACCAGGGGGCACUAUGUGACCAGAAAAUAACCCCAAAACACCAGCGGUUGCAUUAAAUUCCA